CUCCUUGACUUCUACUCUUGUUACAUGAUCUCUUUUGCACCUUUCUCUGAAAGUAUUUAUUUCUACUCUUUAUCCCUGGUGUGUUGAAAUUUCACAGUGGUAUAUCUAGGUUUGUCUCUUUUAUUCAUUCAUUAUGUUUGAUCUUUUGAUGGACUCUUUAAAUCUGGAAUUUCAUGCCCUUCAGUUCUGGAAAUCUUUUUGGAAUUUUUUCUUUGUAAUUGCCUCCCUUGUUUUCUCUCAGAUCUCUCAUUAAAAUUUCUUUUAAGAGACUAUUGAACCUACUUGAUAGAUGCUUUAAUUUUUCUUUCCUGC
This 312-nucleotide long non-coding RNA is filed under the name Homo sapiens (human). RNAcentral describes it as "HSALNT0393852". The record is from RNAcentral. Lineage: Eukaryota; Metazoa; Chordata; Mammalia; Primates; Hominidae.